AGUGGCGGACGGGUGAGUAACGACGUGAGCAACCUGCCUUCAAGCGAGGAAGUAAUGGCUGGAAACGACCACUAAUACCUCAUAACAUAGCGAGACCGCAUGAUCUUGCUAUCAAAGGUUUACCACUUGAAGAUGGGCUCGCGUCCGAUUAGCCAGUUGGUGAGGUAACGGCUCACCAAAGCGACGAUCGGUAGCCGUACUGAGAGGUAGAACGGCCACAUUGGGACUGAGACACGGCCCAGACUCCUACGGGAGGCAGCAGUGGGGAAUAUUGCACAAUGGAGGAAACUCUGUAAUGCAGCGAUGCCGCGUGAGGGAAGAAGGCUUUCGGGUUGUAAACCUCUGUUAUCAGGGACGAAAAUGACGGUACCUGAGGAGGAAGCUCCGGCUAACUACGUGCCAGCCGCCGC
RNAcentral lists this ribosomal RNA (410 nucleotides) under uncultured bacterium. RNAcentral describes it as "bacterial SSU rRNA". It matches the Rfam family "Bacterial small subunit ribosomal RNA", at positions 94 to 518 of the family's 1533-position model. The record is from RNAcentral.